ACAUCGCAUUGAAACAACAGUUCCCGUAUGAUCACCGAAGUCAAAUAUGGUUGGGCGUGGUUAGUACGUAGAUGGGGGUAACCAUCUGGGGAUACCCAGCUGCUGUAA
Non-coding RNA from Acanthosepion pharaonis, 108 nucleotides. Lineage: Eukaryota; Metazoa; Mollusca; Cephalopoda; Sepiida; Sepiidae. The record is from the annotation of a GenBank genome assembly.